UGGGGAAUUGUUCGCAAUGGGCGCAAGCCUGACGACGCAACGCCGCGUGGAGGACGAAGAUCUUCGGGUCGUAAACUCCUUUCGAUCGGGACGAAUGGCCGGUGACCUAACACGUCAUCGGAGUGACGGUACCGAGAGAAGAAGCCCCGGCUAACUCCGUGCCAGCAGCCGCGGUAAUACGGGGGGGGCAAGCGUUGUUCGGAAUUACUGGGCGUAAAGGGCGCGUAGGCGGCCUACUAAGUCGGACGUGAAAUCCCUCGGCUCAACCGAGGAACUGCGUCCGAUACUGGCAGGCUGGAAUCCGGGAGAGGGAUGUGGAAUUCCAGGUGUAGCGGUGAAAUGCGUAGAUAUCUGGAGGAACACCGGUGGCGAAGGCGGCAUCCUGGACCGGUAUUGACGCUGAGGCGCGAAAGCUAGGGGAGCAAACGG
RNAcentral lists this ribosomal RNA (429 nucleotides) under uncultured bacterium. RNAcentral's name for it is "bacterial SSU rRNA". It matches the Rfam family "Bacterial small subunit ribosomal RNA", at positions 355 to 775 of the family's 1533-position model. The record is from RNAcentral.